AGGAUAAACGCUGGCGGCGUGCUUCAGGCAUGCAAGUCGAACGAGACUUCGGUCCAGUGGCGGACGGGUGAGUAACACGUAAGUAACCUGCCCAGAAGUGUGGAAUAACCCACCGAAAGGUGAGCUAAUACCGCAUGUUGUGGUCUUUCUCUGGAGAGGUCACUAAAGGCGAAAGUCGCUUCUGGAGGGGCUUGCGGCCGAUUAGCUAGUUGGUGGGGUAAUAGCCUACCAAGGCUACGAUCGGUAGCUGGUCUGAGAGGACGGACAGCCACACGGGGACUGAGAUACGGCCCCGACUCCUACGGGAGGCAGCAGCUAGGAAUCUUGGGAAUGGGCGAAAGCCUGACCCAGCAACGCCGCGUGGGCGAUGAAGGCCUUCGGGUCGUAAAGCCCUUUUGCAGGGACGAUGAUGACGGUACCUGCGAAUAAGCCACGGCUAACUACGUGCCAGCAGCCGC
RNAcentral lists this ribosomal RNA (458 nucleotides) under uncultured soil bacterium. Its description in RNAcentral is "bacterial SSU rRNA". It matches the Rfam family "Bacterial small subunit ribosomal RNA", at positions 26 to 518 of the family's 1533-position model. The record is from RNAcentral.